UACGGAGGGUGCGAGCGUUGUCCGGAUUUAUUGGGUUUAAAGGGUGCGUAGGUGGCUUUUAAGUCAGUGGUGAAAUACAGCCGCUCAACGGGUUGAGGUGCCAUUGAUACUGAAGAGCUUGAAACAAGUGGAGGCUGCCGGAAUGGAUGGUGUAGCGGUGAAAUGCAUAGAUAUCAUCCAGAACACCGAUUGCGAAGGCAGGUGGCUACGUUUGAUUUGACACUGAGGCACGAAAGCAUGGGGAGCAAACAGG
Molecule: ribosomal RNA, 253 nt
Filed under: uncultured bacterium
Lineage: Bacteria
Description: partial 16S ribosomal RNA
Rfam family: Bacterial small subunit ribosomal RNA
Source: RNAcentral